CCCAUGGAGGUAGGCUUGAGGUCGAUCCAUGUAUUUGUAUAUUAUUUUUUAUUUUAUUUCUUCUUUCUUCCUGCUGUACUAUGUGGUACCGAAUCCUGCACAACAUUGGGUUAAUGGGUUAGUGGGUUGAUCUGUUACAUGAUAGGAUUUUGGGUUAAUGGGUUGGAGGGAUGGGUUACUAGAUUUUAGGUUGUUUGGUCAUUGGGUUGUGGUAGGGUUGGAGUUCGGUUAGUGGCAGAGUUGGGUUUAGGUUGGCUUACAAUUAAUAGUGGGUUCAAUUAGGAUU
Molecule: long non-coding RNA, 286 nt
Filed under: Elaeis guineensis (African oil palm)
Lineage: Eukaryota; Viridiplantae; Streptophyta; Magnoliopsida; Arecales; Arecaceae
Description: long non-coding RNA (EGUI_LNC067045)
Source: RNAcentral